This 465-nucleotide ribosomal RNA is filed under the name Vreelandella stevensii. RNAcentral's name for it is "partial 16S ribosomal RNA". It matches the Rfam family "Bacterial small subunit ribosomal RNA", at positions 338 to 795 of the family's 1533-position model. The record is from RNAcentral. Lineage: Bacteria; Pseudomonadati; Pseudomonadota; Gammaproteobacteria; Oceanospirillales; Halomonadaceae.
CCUACGGGGGGCUGCAGUGGGGAAUAUUGGACAAUGGGGGCAACCCUGAUCCAGCCAUGCCGCGUGUGUGAAGAAGGCCCUCGGGUUGUAAAGCACUUUCAGUGAGGAAGAACGCCUGGUGGUUAAUACCCAUCAGGAAAGACAUCACUCACAGAAGAAGCACCGGCUAACUCCGUGCCAGCAGCCGCGGUAAUACGGAGGGUGCGAGCGUUAAUCGGAAUUACUGGGCGUAAAGCGCGCGUAGGUGGCUUGAUAAGCCGGUUGUGAAAGCCCCGGGCUCAACCUGGGAACGGCAUCCGGAACUGUCAAGCUAGAGGGCAGGAGAGGAAGGUAGAAUUCCCGGUGUAGCGGUGAAAUGCGUAGAGAUCGGGAGGAAUACCAGUGGCGAAGGCGGCCUUCUGGACUGACACUGACACUGAGGUGCGAAAGCGUGGGUAGCAAACAGGAUUAGAUACCCUGGUAGUA